CUCGUUACUCAGCCGCCCCAGGCCCCGUUUCGCCACCAGCCCCCUCAGCGCCGCUCCCCCGGUGCGCGCGGGCCUGGCCCCGACCCCUCCCCGUGCCGCCGCUCCCGUCCCCGCUAGGCCGAGCGGGGCCCGCCGCCGCCUUCACCCAGCCCGGCCCCCUGCGAGCCGCCGCCGCCCGGUGUGUGCGGGGCCCGGCCGCUGCCGGCUUCUGCCCCCCGGCGGGGCCAUGGCCGCGAGCGCCAAGCGGAAGCAGGAGGAGAAGCACCUGAAGCUGCUGCGGGAGAUGAGCAGCCUCCCGCCCAACCGCAAGUGCUUCGACUGCGACCAGCGCGGCCCCACCUACACCGACAUGACGGUGGGCAGCUUCGUGUGCACCUCCUGCUCCGGCAUCCUGCGAGGUUUAAAUCCACCCCACAGGGUUAAAUCUAUCUCCAUGACCACAUUCACGCAACAGGAAAUAGAAUUUCUGCAGAAACAUGGAAAUGAAGUAUGUAAACAGAUUUGGCUAGGAUUAUUUGAUGAUCGAUCAUCAGCAAUUCCAGACUUCAGAGAUCCACAGAAAGUUAAGGAGUUUCUACAGGAAAAAUAUGAAAAGAAAAGAUGGUAUGUUCCUCCAGAACAAGCUAAGGUUGUGGCAUCAGUCCAUGCAUCUAUAUCAGGGUCCUCUGCUAGUAGUACAAGCAGCACACCUGAGGUGAAACCACUUAAAUCUCUCUUGGGAGAAUCUGCACCAGCACUGCACUUAAAUAAAGGCACACCUAGCCAAUCCCCUGUUAUCGUUAGGUCUCAAGGACAACAGCAGCAGGAAAAGAAACAAUUUGACCUCCUCAGUGACCUUGGCUCAGAUAUCUUUGCUGCUCCUGCUCCUCAAUCAACUGCUACAGCAAAUUUUGCUAACUUUGCACAUUUCAACAGUCAUGCAGCACAGAACUCUGCAAAUGCAGGUUUUGCAAACUUUGAUGCAUUUGGACAGUCUAGUGGUUCGAGUAAUUUUGGAGGUUUCCCCACAGCAAGUCAGUCUCCUUUUCAGCCCCAAAAUACAGCGUUCAGAACGCUUUCAUCUAGCUGCAGUUUUGGUGAAUUUACUUCAGCUUUCCCUCUCCAGGCUGUACACAGUGGAAGUGCUGGAUCAAUGAAUGCUAACUUUGCUCACUUUGAUAACUUCCCCAAAUCCUCCAGUGCUGAUUUUGGAGCCUUCAAUGCUUCUCAGAGCAACACAACAGCAACUGCUGCCAGUAAAAUUGCAGUGAAUAAACCGAAUCUCCAGUCAGCAGACAAAUAUGCAGCUCUUGCUAAUUUAGAUAAUAUCUUCAGCACGGGGCAAGGUGGUAGUGAGCAAGGAAGUGGCUUCGGCACUGUAGUUACAGCACCAUCAGGUCCUGCUGUGUCAGCCCCAAGUCAGCCAAGUGCAUCUUCAGACAAGUAUGCAGCUCUAGCAGAAUUAGACAGUGUGUUCAGCUCCACAGCAACCUCUAGUAAUGCAUAUACUUCCACCAGUAAUGUUAGCAGCAAUGCUUUUGGAACAGUACCAGUGGCUGCUACUGCACAGACACAGCCUGCGUCUUCGAGUGUGCCUGCUUCAUUUGGAGCAACACCUUCCACAAAUCCAUUUGUGGCUGCCCCUGUCGCUCCAGUGGCACCUUCAACAAACCCGUUCCAGACCAAUAGCAGAGGAGUAACAGGCCUCUCGGGAGCAAUGCACUCUCACAUAUUUCCUCAGGCUCAUUUUGCGGCGACAUUUGGCACAGCAUCCAUGAGCAUGCCUGCAGGAUUUGGAACUCCUGCAUCCUACAGUCUUCCUACUAGCUUCAGUGGCAAUUUCCAGCAGCCUGCCUUCCCAACCCAGGGAGCUUUCCCACAACAGACUGCUUUUGCUCAGCAACCAAAUGGUUUUGCUGCAUUUGGACAGGCAAAGCCUGUAGUAACCCCCUUUGGACAAGUUGCUGCUGUUGGAGUAUCUAGUAAUCCUUUUAUGGGAAGGCAGCAUGUGAUCUCCUAGAUGCAAUUCAAUGUUCAGAUGACAUGACAGUGAUAAGGCUGUUCAAAAUCAGACUGAGGCUGGUGCACCAACAGGACAGUUUCCAACAGGAAGCUCAUCAACCAAUCCUUUCUUAUAGCCUUAUAGACACUUUACCCAAAAGAACUCUUAUUUGGUCACAUAACAUCUCUGCGCCUCUUGCACUGUUGUCUUGUUUCACUGAUCUUAGCUUUAAACACAAGAGAAGUCUUCAAUAAAAAAACAAACAAACAAACCUGUGUUGUGUAUUAAAACCACCAGAUAAUAUGUGCAAAACGGAGGGCUGUGGUAACAUCCUUAACCUGUGAAUUGGCAGGAGAAAAGUAGCGGUAUCAUGUAUAUUAAAAUUGGCUAAUAAGUAAUUGCAGAUACCACAUUCGUUAUGCUGCAGUACUGUACAUAUUUUUUUCUUAGAAAAUAGCUAUUUGUGCAUAUCGGUAUUUGUAACUUUAACACAUUGUUAUGUGAAAAAUGUUACUGGGGAAAUAGAUCAGCCACUUUGAGGUGCUGUUGUAUCUCUUGGAAUUAAUUACCUACCAUCAUUUUAACCAUUGCUAUUGGAAGUCAUGAAGUCAAAUUGGAGGUUUUGUUCAUUCUCCAAAAUGUUUUCCAUUCCAGAAGAGCUCUCCUAUUUAUACAUGCCUACAUUCUCUAUAAUGUAGAGGGAUGCCUGUCUGCCUAAUAAAGCUGAUCAUGUUUUGCUACAGUUUGCAGGUGAAAAAAAAUAAAUAUUAGGGGGGAAAAAAA
Molecule: RNA transcript, 2764 nt
Organism: Gopherus flavomarginatus (Mexican gopher tortoise)
Lineage: Eukaryota; Metazoa; Chordata; Testudines; Testudinidae
Gene: AGFG1
Gene name: ArfGAP with FG repeats 1
Exons: 16
Source: RefSeq, a predicted model, not a curated record